UCCCCAUGGUCUGAUCCUCUGCCUACUCU
RNAcentral lists this non-coding RNA (29 nucleotides) under Homo sapiens (human). The record is from RNAcentral. Lineage: Eukaryota; Metazoa; Chordata; Mammalia; Primates; Hominidae.